AACGAACGCUGGCGGCAUGCCUAACACAUGCAAGUCGAACGCCAUGGUUUCGGCCAUGGAGUGGCGCACGGGUGAGUAACGCGUGGGAACCUGCCCAGCAGUAUGGGACAACCGCGGGAAACUGCGGCUAAUACCGUAUACGCCCGUCUUUGGGAGACCAGGGGCGGGGAAAGAUUGAUCGCUGUUGGAGGGGCCCGCGUCGGAUUAGGUAGUUGGUGGGGUAAAGGCCUACCAAGCCUGCGAUCCGUAGCUGGUCUGAGAGGAUGAUCAGCCACACUGGGACUGAGACACGGCCCAGACUCCUACGGGAGGCAGCAGUGGGGAAUAUUGGACAAUGGGCGCAAGCCUGAUCCAGCAAUGCCGCGUGAGUGAUGAAGGCCUUAGGGUUGUAAAGCUCUUUCACACGCGACGAUGAUGACGGUAGCGUGAGAAGAAGCCCCGGCUAACUCCGUGCCAGCAGCCGCCGUAA
RNAcentral lists this ribosomal RNA (469 nucleotides) under uncultured bacterium. RNAcentral describes it as "partial 16S ribosomal RNA". It matches the Rfam family "Bacterial small subunit ribosomal RNA", at positions 29 to 523 of the family's 1533-position model. The record is from RNAcentral.